This 403-nucleotide ribosomal RNA is filed under the name Streptococcus mutans. RNAcentral's name for it is "bacterial SSU rRNA". It matches the Rfam family "Bacterial small subunit ribosomal RNA", at positions 28 to 413 of the family's 1533-position model. The record is from RNAcentral. Lineage: Bacteria; Bacillati; Bacillota; Bacilli; Lactobacillales; Streptococcaceae.
GACGAACGCUGGCGACGUGCCUAAUACAUGCAAGUGGGACGCAAGGGAACACACUGUGCUUGCACACCGUGUUUUCUUGAGUCGCGAACGGGUGAGUAACGCGUAGGUAACCUGCCUAUUAGCGGGGGAUAACUAUUGGAAACGAUAGCUAAUACCGCAUAAUAUUAAUUAUUGCAUGAUAAUUGAUUGAAAGAUGCAAGCGCAUCACUAGUAGAUGGACCUGCGUUGUAUUAGCUAGUUGGUAAGGUAAGAGCUUACCAAGGCGACGAUACAUAGCCGACCUGAGAGGGUGAUCGGCCACACUGGGACUGAGACACGGCCCAGACUCCUACGGGAGGCAGCAGUAGGGAAUCUUCGGCAAUGGACGAAAGUCUGACCGAGCAACGCCGCGUGAGUGAAGAAG